GAUUGCUGGCUAUGUAUUCUGCUCCUAUAUUGUGCCUGUGGAAGAAUUUACGGUGGGGCUGGCAGGGUUUGAAGGCUUCUGUUGCAGAUUUUCAGUGCCAUAAUUUUUGGAUUGGAGGAGACAAAGCAGAUGUUAUUUCAUGGAUCCCUGCAACUUAGGACAAAAGAGUUUCGAUUCCUUACAUAUGGCCUCUCUCAUCCUCCAUUCUAGACUUCAAGGCUUCACACGCACA
RNAcentral lists this long non-coding RNA (232 nucleotides) under Elaeis guineensis (African oil palm). RNAcentral describes it as "long non-coding RNA (EGUI_LNC031470)". The record is from RNAcentral. Lineage: Eukaryota; Viridiplantae; Streptophyta; Magnoliopsida; Arecales; Arecaceae.